RNAcentral lists this ribosomal RNA (622 nucleotides) under uncultured archaeon. RNAcentral describes it as "bacterial SSU rRNA". It matches the Rfam family "Archaeal small subunit ribosomal RNA", at positions 147 to 774 of the family's 1478-position model. The record is from RNAcentral.
UAAUACUCCAUAGAUUAGAGACACUGGAAUGUUCUUUAGUCGAAAGUUCUGGCGCCUUAGGAUGGAUCUGCGGUCGAUUAGGUUGUUGUUGGGGUAACGGCCCAACAAGCCUGUAAUCGAUACGGGUUGUGGGAGCAAGAGCCCGGAGAUGGAAUCUGAGACACGAUUCCAGGCCCUACGGGGCGCAGCAGGCGCGAAAACUUUACAAUGCAGGAAACUGUGAUAAGGGAACUCCGAGUGCCCGUAUACGCGGGCUGUCCAGGUGUUUAAAAAUCAUCUGAAGAAAGGGCCGGGCAAGACCGGUGCCAGCCGCCGCGGUAAUACCGGCGGCUCGAGUGGUGGCCACUAUUAUUGGGCUUAAAGCGUCCGUAGCUGGACCGAUAAGUCUCUUGGGAAAUUCGCCGGCUCAACCGGCGGGCGUCUAAGGGAUACUGUUAGUCUAGGGACCGGGAGAGGUGAGAGGUACUCCGGGGGUAGGAGUGAAAUCCUGUAAUCCCCGGGGGACCACCGAUGGCGAAGGCAUCUCACCAGAACGGCUCCGACAGUGAGGGACGAAAGCUGGGGGAGCGAACCGGAUUAGAUACCCGGGUAGUCCCAGCCGUAAACUAUGCGCGUUAGGUGU